Molecule: ribosomal RNA, 250 nt
Filed under: uncultured bacterium
Lineage: Bacteria
Description: partial 16S ribosomal RNA
Rfam family: Bacterial small subunit ribosomal RNA
Source: RNAcentral
UACGGAGGGUGCAAGCGUUAAUCGGAAUUACUGGGCGUAAAGCGCGCGUAGGCGGUUUGUUAAGUCAGAUGUGAAAGCCCCGGGCUCAACCUGGGAAUGGCAUUUGAGACUGGCAGGCUAGAGUAUGGUAGAGGUGAGUGGAAUUUCAGGUGUAGCGGUGAAAUGCGUAGAGAUCUGAAGGAACAUCAGUGGCGAAGGCGACUCACUGGGCCAUUACUGACGCUGAGGUGCGAAAGCGUGGGUAGCAAAC